This is an RNA transcript of Olea europaea var. sylvestris, 2026 nucleotides long. RefSeq lists it as uncharacterized. The transcript has 5 exons. The record is from RefSeq and is a predicted model, not a curated record. Lineage: Eukaryota; Viridiplantae; Streptophyta; Magnoliopsida; Lamiales; Oleaceae.
CGAGGGACUAUUCGUGAAAAAAUUAAAUAUAGACAGAACGUAAAACUGCGCCAGGACCGGGCAAAUCUCCUGCCACCGUUGUUCAAAACCCUCGCGCCUGAAAAUAUCUCAAAUUACAUAUUAGUACGUAUCUCCGUCGUAGCGUCGCGGAUGGCCUACUCUGGGACAAUGGCAUGUAUGCUUGAUUCUGAUAAACAAAAAGGCACAGAAAUUAUAUGAGUGCUUGAUUUGCCCCCCGCAAUUCGUUGCUGAUUUUAAGUUUAUUUUAAUAAGUGACGUUUGUGGUUAAUUUUGGAAAUGAAGGUCGCAAAUAUGCGAGAAGAACUUGAACUUGCCAAGAUAUGUAUCAGAGGACCACCUAAGAGAGUUCUUCCCCCAGAAAGGCAAAGUUACUGAUGCCUAGCUCACGCGCACCAUGCAUCCCCCUUUCGGUACCCUUUUUUUAUAUGUGAUUAACUUAUUUCUUUAUUCCAUCAUUUGAGCAACAGAAAACAAUUCAAUUUUGGACUGGAAGAGCAGGCAUUUUGGAUUUGUUGGAUACAGGACAGAGCAAGAAGCAGAGCAAGCCAUUAACUGCUUCAAGAAGUCUUUAGUGGUUUCAGAAUGAUUUGUGAGGUACUUCAUAGGAUUGGUUUGAGUGUAAUAAAAUACUUGCAUAAGGAAGAUAUAGUAAUUGAGACCCUAAGAAAGGAAUCUAUGGACCUAGAUAAACUGAGCUUUCCUGGACAUUCGUUGAGCAGCGAAUUGUAUUUGCAAUCAGCUUAUAGUAUGCUAUAAAGUACACUUAUCACGGAAAAAUCAACCUUUGUCUAAAUUCAGAUUGCUUGGAAGGUUGGAUAUUCAAACAUCCACUUCCAUGGAGUUGGUACUCAAUGAAGAAACAGGGAAGUUCCUCUGAAGAGGAAAAGAAAGUAUACCUGGUCCUAAAGUUUCUAAAGUUGCAAUAGCAAAAGGAGAGAUCACGAAAAGCAAGAAAGAUGAUGGGUAUGAAGACCCUCAAUUUCAGGAGUUCCUCCAGGUCAUGCAGCCGCAUAGCAAGUCCAAACUGUGGGCAAAUGAUGCCCUUGCAGCUCCCUCUCUUGAGCAAGUAAAGAAGCUAGUAACGAGAAGCAUCAAGUAAAAGGUAGUCAUGGUAAAUUGGAUGAACUGAAUGCCGAAUCUGAGGGAAUUGAGGGGAAAGAAAAUGCAUUGUCAGAGAUUCGAGAGGUAGAUGAACUGUUUAGUUCACAAUGAAGUUGUAUCUGAUAUGGAUAUAUCUGCUCUAAACUGCCCCGUAUAAUUCGAAUUCUGGGCUAGUAGGUAUUUCUUGUCACGUUCUUCAGUAAGUAACUCUUAUCAUUUUCUUUUUGUUUCCAUUUUUCUUAUGUUCGCUUUCUGAUGUAAAAGUUGACGAGGAGUUGGAAGAACACUUUUAGCAAAUAUGGUGACAUCUCAUAGUUCCAUAUUGUUUUUUAUCAAGAUAUGACAUGGUCCGAGGGCACAGCAUACAUUCUUUAUGCUCUUCCAAAAUCUGCUGCUAGGUAUCAUCCAGAGUUGUACCCUAUCAUGCUGGAACUUCUGUCAAAAGCUGUGAUGUUUUGGUGCGUUGUUCGGGGCUUUGGAAGAGUUCGAAAUUCAAAUUUUCAAGGGAGUUAUUUCAUGACAUGCCUGCAAAAGAAAAGAAUCCAGCUGAUAAGCAAGAGACCAACAAUUUCAUCCUACAAUCUUCAAAGACAUUUAAACAGCAGAGUCUUCUGAAGUUAGUGGACAUACACGAGGAUGGAAUAGUUCAAUCAUACAACCUGAUACAGAACCUGUUGCUAGGGAUGGCUUUUCCAACUCUACAGAGGCAAUUUGAAGAUAUAGAAACCAGAAACAAGAGUAACCAAACGUGAAGUGAGAUUGUAUUUCUGUAAAUAGGAUAACACUGGUGAAUAGACUCUGAGAAUUACAGCAAUGAUGUAAAUCUCCUUGAUGGAAUACAAUGAUAAUGCUUUAAAGAAAUAAAAGGAUAAAUGGACAUUCGAGAGGUCCAAUUCUCUCCCAA